This 347-nucleotide unclassified non-coding RNA is filed under the name uncultured fungus. RNAcentral's name for it is "partial contains small subunit ribosomal RNA, internal transcribed spacer 1, and 5.8S ribosomal RNA". The stretch from base 1 to 73 matches the Rfam family "Eukaryotic small subunit ribosomal RNA", at positions 1759 to 1831 of the family's 1831-position model. The record is from RNAcentral. Lineage: Eukaryota; Fungi.
GCAAACUUGGUCAUUUAGAGGAAGUAAAAGUCGUAACAAGGUUUCCGUAGGUGAACCUGCGGAAGGAUCAUCAUUGAAUAAUAUCUCAAGCCUUGGAGGAAUUUUCUUCUGAGGCUUGCAAACAACUUUGAUACCCAAAAAGAGAUUUGUCUUUGGUUUUUCAGCUUGGGCUCAUUUGUUUGGGUUUGGGUUGAUGGCUAGAGAAGAAGGGGUGAAGAGAGGAGACUCUCUAAGCUCUGGAAAUUAUAACAUGCGGUUGCCUGAUAAAAAGAGUUUUGGUUUUUUGGGAAUGAGAAACAACUUUCAACAACGGAUCUCUUGGCUCUCACAUCGAUGAAGAACGCAGC